UUGAAUCUGAAUGAAGGUGGUUUCCUGAUUUUGCAUCUUGAUUUCUCCAUUGGUGUUGGUCUACUUGAGCAGGAAUAGCUUUGUAACAUGAACAGCUGCUGCAGUGAUGCCUUGUCACCCUUCUCAGGGAUGCUGAGCAGGUGAUGGGGAAGAGGAAGGCUGCUGCCCCAUGGGGCUGCCAUCCUGCUGCUUGGCAGAGCAUCCCAGGACCCCGAGCAGCUCACGCAGGUUGUGCGUGCCGUACCAUCUCAUCUGCAGCAGGCAGGAGCUAGCGAGGCAGCGCUGACCAAAGGGCUCGGCUGCAGGCUCCUGUUUCAUCGGAGGCGGCUGAGCGCAGCAGUUAUUCUCUCCUGCUUUCUUCCACACGAGGAUUUUGUGUCUUGGGAUGAGAUACAGAGCUGAAGAGUUAAAUUUUCCUCUGAAAACCCACUGUUCCUCUGGAGAAGGGUGAGGCCAGGCCUGUCCUGAAGCUGAAUGCUCUCCCGUGGUGGAAGGUUGGCUGGAUAACUUCUCCAGUGACAAUCUCAGCCCACAAAUAAGGCUUGAAGGAUAUUACUGCAUUUCCCAAGAGCGCCCAGCUUUUGAAAUGCCAUUUCCCCUGGUAUUAGGAGUUCUGGAAGCUGAAGCCAGCGAGAAGAUCAGUAUCUUUAACUGUAUCAUGAGGAUUUCUUUUGGGAAAAGGCAUCUGUAUAACGAAUUGUCAUGGGCGCACGAAUGACGUGUUGAAAAUCAGCUGAGGGGCAGAGUGUA
Molecule: long non-coding RNA, 750 nt
Organism: Gymnogyps californianus (California condor)
Lineage: Eukaryota; Metazoa; Chordata; Aves; Accipitriformes; Cathartidae
Exons: 5
Source: RefSeq, a predicted model, not a curated record